Molecule: ribosomal RNA, 496 nt
Filed under: uncultured bacterium
Lineage: Bacteria
Description: partial 16S ribosomal RNA
Rfam family: Bacterial small subunit ribosomal RNA
Source: RNAcentral
AUGAACGCUGGCGGCGUGCCUAAUACAUGCCAGUCGAGCGCACAGACGAGGAGCUUGCUCCUCUGACGUUAGCGGCGGACGGGUGAGUAACACGUGGAUAACCUACCUAUAAGACUGGGAUAACUUUGGGAAACCGGAGCUAAUACCGGAUAAUAUAUUGAACCGCAUGGUUCAAUAGUGAAAGACGGUUUUGCUGUCACUUAUAGAUGGAUCCGCGCCGCAUUAGCUAGUUGGUAAGGUAACGGCUUACCAAGGCGACGAUGCGUAGCCGACCUGAGAGGGUGAUCGGCCACACUGGAACUGAGACACGGUCCAGACUCCUACGGGAGGCAGCAGUAGGGAAUCUUCCGCAAUGGGCGAAAGCCUGACGGAGCAACGCCGCGUGAGUGAUGAAGGUCUUCGGAUCGUAAAACUCUGUUAUUAGGGAAGAACAAAUGUGUAAGUAACUAUGCACGUCUUGACGGUACCUAAUCAGAAAGCCACGGCUAACUACGUG